UUUAAGAUGUCUCGCUCAGUAAUACAAGCAUUCCUUUCAUGUUAACCAAUUAUGAAUGAAUCAAUUUAUGUUUCAAAGGGGUUUCAAAAAUAUUUGUAUAUGCCAGCCUGGCUGGUUAUUUAAAUGCAUUAGAGUGUAUUUCACAUUCUCAAUAUUCAGAAUACGAAAGCUUCAGAAUCUGUUUAUAUUUAAAAUAUUUGGGCCUCACUGACAUACUGAUUGUCCCGGGGUUUGGUUUGGUUUUUAUAAAAUAAAAUAAAAUAAAAUGUUCAGGUACUUCUACAAUAGAUCAUGUCCUGAAAUUUGGUAUACACAGAGAUAUUCAAUGGUGUUCAUCAUGCUGACUAAAGAUGAUGUUAGCUUCUGUUUGUCUUGGUAGACAGUCCUAUAUUCUUGGUAGAGUACUCUCAAGUUUUUCCAUCUCCAGGUUUUCCCUUUUAACCUCCUCUUCCUUCACCAAAAACCUCUUAUCUCCUACAAGAAUAUAGAAAUGUACUACACAUAUUUGAUUCACGAACGUCUUAUGAACUUACUCAGUUUCUUAUAAUUUAUAUCCCCUUCCUUCCAUCAUGGAACCCAAGGUGCUAUAACUGAGGUUCCCAUUCACUGACCAGAACUAAACCUGCUUAUCUUCAGGCAAAGUAGUGACCUCAUGUGCCUUCAGGUCAUAGGCUGGGAUGGUAUACCAGGGAUGGGGACCUUGUGGAACACCAGAUGUCGCUGAAUCACAGCUCCCAUCAUCCCUGGUCUUGAACCAUGUUGAACGGAGCUGAUGUGAGUUGGAGUCCAACCACAUCUGGAAAGCCACAGGUUUUCCCAACUUCUUAUACCUUCAAAAGAGCAAUAACCCAACAAAGAAGGCAAGCUCCUUUCUUCUCACCUCUGAAGCCCUUUUUAUUGACCAAGGCAGCUUCCAUCAGAGAGAAGGAAAAGGAAAUCCAUGGAGAGGGUUCGUUUGUGGAACUAGCAGGUAGACCUGGCAACUGCUGUGCAAAGGCUGUCACUAUGUAGGAAAGAGUAGAGAGAAGACUUCUUGUCAUGGCCUGUUGGAGUUUUUAUGAAGCCUUAAGCUGGGAAUGCUGCAAAUUAAAGAACAUUCGUUGUGCAAGAUUUCUCUUUCGCCUUUCUUGGCAAACAAGGCAGCUGCUUUGACACGCGUCCUUGAUACUAAAAGGAUUUCAAAGGGGCUCCCUGUCACUCUAUCCUUGGACCCUGAGGUCUGGAGAAUGCACAAUUCAUCAAUCCUGUUUACAGGAAGAAUUACAGUCACCGUUAAAUCAUCUGCAUUUGAACAGUCCCGUGGUAUGUGCUGGAACGAUUAGCAAUGACAGAAGUGCUUUUGGAUAGGGAGAUGGCAGUUUCUUUGAGGUAAUUAUCACAUGAAAUGUUGAUGCGGUGGCGGUGGUAAGGAAACUAAUUUGUUACCUCUUUCUCAAACGCCUCCAUUGGCCUCCACCCACCUCAGUUGAGCAGGAUGACAACUCUCACAUUUAGCUAUGUACUCCAGCACUGAUGUACUAGGUAAUUAUAGAUGCUGGACUUAAUGAUCUUAUGGGUAAUAGUCUUAGCUGGUAAUGCAUUUCAUUUCACCAACUUGAAAUGGUCCAAAAUGUGGUAAGCUGCUGUGUUUGAGGAGUGUGGUGGAGUCUCCUUCUUUGGAGGUCUUUAAGCGGAGGCUUGACAGCCAUCUGUCAGGAAUGCUUUGAUGGUGUUUCCUGCUUGGCAGGGGGUUGGACUGGAUGGCCCUUGUGGUCUCUUCCAACUCUAAGAUUCUAUGAUUCUAGGUUCCUCCUGCUCAUUCUGCUAAGUGGGACCCUAGACAUCUGCUCCCAAAUUCUACUGGACUCCAGAGUCCAUCCCCCUCAGGUAACAUUUGAGCCAGGGCCAAGAUGAACCUCCAGGGAAGGAAGGGCUAAAAAUGUCAGCUGCCUCUGCCUGACUAUGGCUUAGCUUGACUAGAAUUGGAGCUCAGCCUGGAAGCCUUGGUUAAAUGUUUGGGGUCUCUUGCCCCCACCUCCACAAUUCCCUGACAGCUCCAACCUUCCCUUUAGACAGAAGGAGCAGGUCACAGGGAGCUCCCUUUGAAGGUAUCCUCAGCUGCAAAUAAUGAUAAUGUUUGGAUUGUCAUUUCCAUCUGGGGUUAUGAGGUUUGUAACCUAUGAUUCCUCGCAGGAAAUGUCAUUCAGCAGCCUGUUGUUCCAUCGUACUCUCCCAAAGUAAGGCAGUUCUCUCUCUCUCUCUCUCUCUCUCUCUCUCUCUCUCUCUCUCUCUCUCUCUCUGCCUUUCUCUCUUGUUUAGGAAAGCAGAGCAAAGAAGGGAGUAAGCAGCAACAAAAGAUUAAUUUCGGGUUUUUUCAAGUGUUCGGAUCAGAUACUUGGGGGGUGGGGUGGGAUAUGAGGUGGGAAUUUUUUUCUAGUACUUGACUGGAAGCCCCCAGAACAUAAUUUGUCACUGUAAAGAGGGUGGGUUUCCAUGCACGUCCAGUUUCAAUCCAGUUUCAAGCCGAACAAAUCCAGGUCAAAUCCUGAAAUGGACUGCUUGGCCUUGAGAAUUAUUUUACGGUUUUUAAUAGGGAGGCACACUCUGAAAAAUACUUUUCCUCUUUCCAGAUUUCAGUUAAUACCAUCCACAGUGCUUGAAGGGAGAUAUCCCAGUGCUCUUUAGCAUCUGCAAUGAUGGGGAAAUUGGGGAUUUGCCACACAGUAUGAACCCUUACAUACAUUAGUAUGAGCCUUUGGCAAAGCAAGACAAAUGUUAAAGAUGCAUGUGCGCUUGACACGUUAGUAAAAUAAAUUAUUUUUCUGGGGUGUGAAUUCAUAAUUUUGAACUUGUAAUUGCAUACAGUUUAUCUUGUCGCAUGGACGUUUUAAUUUAUUAAACACAUUUAUGUAGACCUGUUGUGGCUUUUGGCAGGACCAAAUGCAUUUGAAGUCAACAGUCUGUAAAGUAAAAUGAGUUUGGUGUUAUCCCAGCAGGCUUAAGGGCUUUGUGUUGCUCUGGGAAAGUGCCAGAUCCACUGAGGUGCCCAGCACCUUUUGAAACCCUGCAUAAUUGGGGUUCUAAAAAAGUUUAUGGGUGCAGAAGUUCUUCCACUUCAGAACUUGACCUUCCAUGAGUCAGAAUGUGGCAGAAAGUGUGAUGUAGCAGGUCAGAGCUAGAAGACUCACUCCUGGCAUCCUCUGUGUGUUUACUUUAAUGUCUGGAGAGGGUGUUAAUUACUGGUGGAACUGAGCCAAAUUUCUACAAGUUUCAUUUUUCGUGUCAGAAUUUACCCGUUCAAGGGGAGAAAACAUUUAAUCAAAUAUUAGGUUAGGUUUAUCCCUUAGGUUAGGGUUGUUGAAUAUCUACAUCACCUCCAAACCUAAAAAAGUAAAAGUAACCAAAGUGAAAAAUGAAGCAAAUUAAAUACUUUUUUAAAACUAAUGGCACAAUCACAAAGCUAGAUCUGCUGGGGUGAGCAAGUUAGGAUGUGGAAGGUCUCUAGUUAUGCUGGCGUAAGUCCCCAACUUUGGCUCAGCCAUCCCUCAUCCCAGCUCAGCUGGUGCUCAAUAGCUCUAUUGUGUGACCUGACAACAUGGUAUAAGCCCAAAAGGGCUGUGUAAUUUAAAGGCUUCCCCCCCUUCGGCCGGGCUUAGCCUGGCUCAGGUAGCAGUAGACUGACUCCUGAAUGGAGUUUGGAUCUGGCUUAAACUUUACUUAAUUCACUCUGACUUUUGUGUUUGCUCCCUAAGUUUUUGAGAGAACCAGAGCUUAGAGACAGAGCUUUUCCAAAGUCCCCCAAGACUGAUUUACAGCUCCAGCAAAUUGUGCAGACCCUGAACCACCCCAUAAGACCAGUGCUUUCCCCCCAAAAAAGUGUUUAGGGGUACUCUCAUUUUCCUACUCAUAUUGAAAUACUGCCCUUCAAUGAGAACAUGACGGGGUGGGGGAGUUUAACCUUUUGCCUUUCUAUCAUAGCCUUAAUGACUAGGAGGAAGCUCAGAAAGGUGUGUAUGGUUUGUUUUUUUCCUGGUUCUGCAGAAGGGAGAGAAGGGGUUAAACUCCACACUGUCCCUGUGGUCCUAAUCCUGCAUCUCUCUGCCCCCAAUAGCUUCUACUUUGGCCUUUAAAAAUAGUCAUACUCAAUCCAAAAAUGUGUUUCACACAAUACAGUGGUACCUCGGUUUACAAACACAAUUGGUUCCGGAAGUUUGUACUUAACCUGAAGCGUACUUGACCUGAAGCAAACUUUUCCAUUGAAAGUAAUGGAAAGUGGAUUAAUCUGUUCCAGACAGUCCGUGGAGUACUUAAACUGAAGCGUACUUAACCUGAAGUGAACUUUCCAAUUAAAAGUAAUGGAAAGUGGAUUAAUCUGUUCCUGACGGGUCCGCGGAGUACUCAACCUGAAGCGUACUUAACCCAAAGUAUGAGUGUAAUUGGUUCCAGAAGUCCGUACUUAACCUGAAGCGAACUUUUCCAUUGAAAGUAAUGGAAAGUGGAUUAAUCCGUUCCAGACAGGUCCACGGAGUACUUAAACUGAAAAUACUCAAACCGAGGUGUACUUAAUCCGAGGUAUGACUGUAUCAUGUUUGGCCCCACACGAUAGCACAAGACAAGACCUGCUGGGUCAGGUCAAUGGCCCACCUAGACUAGCACCCUGUUCUCACAGUGGUCAACAAGACACUUAUAGAAAACAUGAAAGCAGAAAUUGAGCACAAUAGCAUUCUGCCUUCCUGAGGUUUCCAGUGUCCAAGCAGAUGCCUGUGGGAAGCCCAGAAUGCAACUAGCAGCCCAGUUGCACUAGUAAGUUUUAUUUAAGGUGUUGAGGACCAGGUUGUGCUUAACAUGUACUUGCAAUUUUCUUUUUACAUUACCAGCCACUUGAAGAAUCCAAACUGCUUAUUAUACAUAUCCUUCCUCUUUAUUUCAGACAGAUGAGAGUUGCUCGUUUUAGUGGAUGGUUUCUUUUGCUUCAUCUUUCUCCACGUUCUUAAAUUACUGAGGCAGCUCAGGAGUUGGGAACUGUUCGGAGAAGAAGGAAAUAUUGAUGCAAUCUAAUAUUUUUUAGCGCGUGUUGUUAAGGUUCUUCCAUCUUUCCAAUUGUCUAUUAGACUGCAGCAGAACAGAAUCCUUCUGUAGGACUUCACCUAUAUGAUUCAGAGUCUAAAAAUACCAUCUGUAUACCAUCUGCACAUUGAUCUUCGGUAUAGUCCCCCAGAGGAAGAGAGAGCUCAAUAAAGUUUUAUUUACUUUAAAUGGAGUGUAGGGGAGGAGGCGGGGUAAUUUAAUUUCACCUGUAAUGGAAAUGUCUGAGAUGGUACAUGAAAGGGAACUGCAGCUAUAGAGGGGAGAACGUAAUUUAUCUGAUGAGUUCUGUAGUUAAGCAUAAAUAGUAACACAUCAGUUAUCCAUAAUCAAUCUAUGAAUGGUGGUAGAAUUAUUAUGUUCCACACACCGAGACAUUGUGUGUGAGAGCAGGCGUUUCUUUCUUCAUUGAUUGAUUCUGUAUGUGGGUCCCAAACCAAAGCUCAGGGAAGUGCCUGUCGCUCAUUGUUAAAACACAUGCUUUGGACACAAGAGCGCUGUAUGAUAAUUAUACUCAGAGUAGACCCACUGAAAGCAGCACACUUAAGGUAGUCAAACCCAUCAAUUUCAUUACGUCUCAUCAGCUUCAGCCCACGCUGUUCAAGUUUCAAUCCCUGACGUGUAGCUAAAGGAUUUGAGGGUUAUUGGUCUGAUCCAGUCUGGGCUUUUAAGAUUUCUUUUUAGGAAUAAAUAAAUCUAUCAAUUUCUGUUCUCGAAGUUUCUCAUUUUCCCAAUCUUAAAUUAAGUUUUCCACAUUUGCUUUCCUUCAUGAAAAUUCACCAGCAUUUUAGCGGAAAUUUCAAAUGCGAAACACAUUUUUUUGCAAUAAAAUAAAAAAAAUCCUUCCAGCAGCACCUUAAAGACCAACUAAGUUUUUAUUUUGGUAUGAGCUUUUGUGUGCAUGCACACUUCUUCAAUGUACACAUUUUUUCAAGUAAUUUCCCCAAAUGCAAAGUAUUUUGAAUGCUAUAUCCACCAUUAUAGGCAUUUAACACAGAUUUUGCGUAUGUGCAUUGUUGUACAUAAUACUUGCUUAGAGAACUGCAACGUAAAAUCUAAAGAAAUGCAAAUUUCAAAGGGCAGCUGUGUUUCAGUUCGCAUGUUGGUUCAAGAAGUUUGAAUUAGGCAGGUUCUCAUCCAAAUGCAAAUGAAACCAAAUUUUCACUCAGUUAUUCUGCCUGACACCUUGGAGAGCCAGAAAUCACCUUGCAACACAGAUUAUUUUUUUGAACCUUAAACAACUGUUCAUUCUAAAAAGUCUAUGCUCCAAUACAUGUCAUGGUUGGAAGGUGAUUAAUAUCUAAAAAUAAAGAAUUUCAUGCCUAAGAAGGUAUACAGGACAAUCCUAUUCGGUUAAAUACUCAGAAGUAAGUCCCAUUCACUUCAUGUGGCACAUUUGUAACUAAGGGCAUAUAGAAACACUCUCUUAAGUUACUUAACAUUGUUGUAAGUUGAGCAUUAAACAUUUUAAUCAUAAGAGUUAUUAGUUUAUAUUUUCUCUUACAUUUUUCUGCAGGGUGGGGACAAAAUAGAGGCAUUUUUUUUCCAUUUUUGUUCUUUUGUAAAGGUGGAUUCAGCUGCUCUGGUAAUAGUGUCAGCUGAUCUGAGCUUGGAUGUUUGUGGAGGGAAGGAAGGAAGAAAAAUUCAUCUAAAGAGGAGGGAAGGGGCAGACUUUCCCUCAAGGAUUUUGGUGUGUUUGUGGGAUGGCUUGCCUUAGACUUUCAUUUUGUUGUGUUUUACAAAAAAAAAAAACCUGAUUGCAUGAUGGUGGUGGUGAUAUGUUUUUGGAAAAUAAGAAACUUCCCCUCUUGGGCACCUUAUUUAAAGGUAGCCCAACCCCACUCUUGCAUGGUAGGUGAUAAUGUCAGCAGCUCAAGAGCCAGUGCGGUUCCCCCUAUUCCUAAAAACCACCCCAUCCAGAAAACUGUGGUGAAUUGUUGCUGUCUCAUCCCACAGUUUAAGGGUCCUAGGCCCUAAAGAAGCCAGACGUUCCUCCACAAGGGCCAGAGCCUUUUCAGUGAUGGCACCGACCUGGUGGAAUGCUCUGUCCCAUGAGACUAGGCCCCUGCUGGACGUGAUCUCCUUCCGCAGGGCCUGUAUGACAGAGUUAUUCCACCUGGCCUUCAAUUCAACCUAAGCUUCCAUUCCUUUUUCCCUUCCCCUGGCGAUGCUAUAUUGAUGUUGUGUUUUAUGCUGUUUUUAAGUUGUUUUUAAUCAAUGUUUUUCUAUCUGUUGUUAGCCACUCUGAGCCCAGUUUUUAAACUGGGAAGGGCGGGGUAUAAAUAAAAUUAUUAUUAUUACUAUUAUUAUUACUAUUAUUAGAGAAGUGGCUCCCACAAAAGAAUAGGGUUAUACUUUUUUGCAUGUUCAGACCCAGAGACCUCUCCCCCCCCCAAAUAAAAACACAUUUGACUCAAAUUUUAGUUUUGGUUUUUGGCAUAAUUUAGGCCACAACUCUAUUGAUUACAGAAAAGUGAGUGGUUGCAUAGGCUCUGGUUCGACUAGGUCUCUACAUCCUUGCAGGUAGCACUGACCCAGAGCUCUCUCAUAGGUCAGCCAAGGGUGAACACCUGAGGAAGGUGAAAAGCCUGGGAACAGACUCUGUCCACUCCCCCAGAUGCUCCCCUGGACUCAGGCACGGGCACAACCCCCCUCUCGGGGGCUGACCAAACCAAGUUAAGUCCCUGGGUUCCUUUAACGGAAUACCCUUCCCAUCGGGAUGGCGAGACUGUUCUCCCAUCCCUAUCACCUGAACCAGUGCCUAUCUGCAACCUUACAAGUUGUGACGAUUUGCUAUGUGGCAGGCGAAACCCAAAUGGCAACAGCCAAUCAGCCAAGUGGGGGAAAUUCCUGCCGUGCCCCUGUCCCAAUGACAGAUGCCACACAACGGCAUAGCAAGGUCAAACGCAAAAUGCCCCAAAAAUAGGGAGAGGUGGGCAGUUGUUCCGUUUGCACAAGCCAAAAGAGAAGCUCUGGGUCACGUGCAAGGGAUAAAAUAGGUCCCUCGAACCAUUUAGGCUGCACCCCAUUGGUCAGAUUACACCCAGCAACGAGGGACCUACCAAUCAGGCAUUGUGGCUAUCCAAUAGACCCCACCCACAACCAGGAGGUCGGUCUCCAGGUCUCAGUGCAACACAUGCCCUCUUUUAGGGAGGACAUGCUUUUCAGGACAGCAUUGCUUCAUGGAGCCAUGUCAGUUCUAAACUUGUUCCUGAGUUGAAAGCCUGUAAGACAUGAGCAGCGCCUUGUUGGAUCAGACAAGAAGGUUCAAUCAUGUUCAUAAUAUUGUGCUCUCGGUGGGAAGAGGGGAUUUGAUUCAGUUCACAUUUUUAAAGCUGAACUCACAAAAUCCGCAUUUUCCCAAAUGAUACGUGAACUGAAGCACACCCGGCCUUCCAAAUCUGUGCAUUAUCUGAACACUCAGGAGGGAAAGACUAGCACCUUUUCCUAUUCCUAUUCCAGAAUUCUAUCUCUCUGAACACAGCUUGUGAGUUUCCUAAGGAACAACCCUUGCUUGUAUCAAGUCAUUGCCCGCAACCCUCCCUGUGCGCAUCCCUCAUUUUUUGUGGCAUAUUAAAGUUGGGGGGGGGGGCAGUGCCUGCAUACCUUUGUAACAGAGAGAAAAGAUUCUAGCGUCUCAUACAAUGCAGACUUUCAAACUGCCAUCAACGGGGGUCUGUCCUUGAGUUGAUGGGGCUUCAAAGUGUAGCAUUUCUUCCAGUGUGGAAUGUUCACAGACGUGCGUUUCCUUUUUGCCAUUCAUAGAUGCAUAAUUAAAGUCAACAAAGGGAAAAAUAUUUACUGAAAGUGAGGUUUUAUAUUUACCUUAUGUUUUGUGGGCAUGCUUUACAAUUUAUCAGUAUAUUGCUCUCCCCCGACCCACCAAUAUCUCUGUGUGUAGACAGAUAAGCUAGGCCUUACAGAGUUAGUGACCUUUACUACUUAUAAGCUCAUUAUCACACUAAAUUGAGCUGCCAUCGGUGGAAUCCUUUCUGAAGCCAGUAUUUCUAAUCAGACACGACCUUCCUUCAUCUGUUGCAGCAUGUUAAAAAUGGAGAGAGAGAGAGAGAGAGGAUGAGAAGGAGGAGGAAAGUAUUUGGUGGUGUGCCAGAGAGGGGGAAAGCUCCUGCCACAUUGGUCUAAGUCAGGCAUAGGCAACCUUGGCUCUCCAGAUGUUUUGGAACUACAACUCCCAUGAUCCCUAGCUAACAGGGCCAGUGGUCAGGGAUCAUGGGAGUUGUAGUUCCAAAACAUCUGGAGAGUCAAGGUUGCCUAUGCCUGGUCUAAGUGAAUGUUUGUUACUUCUAGUUAAGAACGUUGGAUAAUUAUGAUCAAAAAAGGGGGGAACUGAAGCAGAUUUUUCUUUUUGGUCCUGUGUUCAGAAAGGAGAUCAAUACAUUGGUGUUUUCUGUUGUAUUGUGAUCCCAACACCUUCUGGGGUAUUUACUUUCCCCUCAGGGAAAUCACUGGGGUCACCAUGCAUAACCAAGCCCUUUCCAGGCUCCUAAUCCCUGCCUGGUCCCUGUCAGAGAGUGAAGCCCUUUCUAGGCUCUAAGCUGAUCACUGUCUGAUUCCUAUGUGUCAUUCAAGACCAAGCACUUUCUAAGCCUAUCUGACUAGGAUCCAAACAAUAAUGAAGACUGCUUCCUCCACCUUGGAGACCCUCAAGCCACGUUUGGUGACAAUAUCACAAGCGGUAGCCAAACAUGUAAAAAUAAUGGUCAAAGUCACAGUGAUGUCACAUUUUGGUCCACCAUCUUGAUUCAAAAUGGUGCCUGGCAUACCAAUGGUGACUCUCUGCUGCCCCCAUCUUGGUAACUCUUUUGGUAAUGACCUGGGCCUCUAUAGCAGAGAUUAGAAUAACACAUGGAUUAAGUUGUAGUGGAUGACCUUCAGCAAGACAGAGCCCACUUGCCAGCUAUUUAAAAAGCAAAUAUAGGGAUACAACUAAGUACUAACUUGUUUUGUGAGUAUAAGGAGAUAAAGAAAAUGUUAGGAAUCUAUUCAACAGAGUUAAAGGAGUUAAAUAUUUCAGUAUCCACCCUUACCUAAUUUAGAAGCAGGCUGGUAUGUAAUGAUGCUGUUUUAGCUUUCACUACUUCUCUCUCUUUUUUGGUAUAUCUUUUUCAAUUGUCUGGCAUCUUCACAGCUGGGCCUGAAUAAAUAAAUUCCGAUUUAGCAAAGUAAAUAUUGCUUUUAUGAUGAUCAGUACCUAGCACAAAUGUGCCAUUAUUGCUGUAAAUUCAACAUGUUCUCUCCAUUUUGAGAUGAUAAAGCUUACACUGGCUUUAAGGAAUGUGUCCUAUAAUACCAAUUACUGUUAAUCUUUUGAGGGACAUAAGAUCGUUCAAAUCGAGCCCAAGCUGGUUGCUUGAAGGGUCAUGGUUGUAAUUUAAACUAUAUGUUUUCUCACGCACGAGCAGUAGAAGAAUCUACAAAUUCAGGGCCAAUUCUGCUGUGGCCAAGGGAGGGCUCAACCUUCAGAUAUUUUAUGCUUUCCCAGCCAAAGCUUCGUAAGAUUUGUCUUGAGGGUUGGGGAAGGCAAAGAUUAUGCGGUGAUGCAAAAGAGAAACAUUUAAAUAAUUUGCCUCAGCAGCUGAUGGGCACCAUGUUUAAAUGACUGGCUACUGGGAUUAGGUUCAUUACAGCUAAGUAUAUAAUCAUAGUUAAUCAUUCCCUGGUUUUAGACUGGCAGAGGACCAGGCAAAAUAGCCUGGUUUGGCCUUGAACAAUCCAGGACCACCCAUAUUUGAAUUCUGCAGCCCAUCUGCCAAAUAUAUGCAGGCAGGAUUGGACACCAUUCCAGUAAACACGGUUUUUGGCAUUGUGGCUGAGGGUGUCCCAACCAAAAUCGUGGUCAGCAUUUUCAAACUAGAUAAGCAUAAGAUCCAUGCUGAAACAGUCUAUCCCAUGUUGUCCCUGUUCUUACAGAGCUCCUGUUCAGAAUCCAAGACAAGCCAUGCCCUUUCCUCACAUCUCUCUCUCUUCUUUGUCCUGCCCAGCCAUCCCCACCCCUAAGAGACGUUCAGCAUACCAUGUUGAUUGAACUUACUCAGUUCUCAUUGAGCUAUUGGAGGAGAGCAUUUUCAUUUCUAAAUAAUGAUAAAUGUUUCUUUUUGGUGCCUGCUGAAGACAAUCUUAUUUAGACACGCCCACCCAGAUGUUUAAUAGGGUGUAUGAAUUUUAUUUUUAUUUAUUUUUAAUUUUUGACUGUUUGAGAUUAUGGUUGUAAAUUGGCGAUAAUUUUAUUUUAUCUUUCUUGGUAAACCAUUUUGAGGAUUUUUCCUAAAAUACAUUUUAUGAAAUAAAUGAAUAACUACUUUUUGCAUCUUUGCGAACGUCAGAGUUUCACCAUGCCUUCUGAUACCUCCAUCUUGCGAGUGGAUGGUGAAGUUAUGGCUAUGUAUAGGGAUCCAUGCUAUGAGGAUGUGUUUACUAUUUAAUAUACCUCUGAAAUCUGGAGGCAUCAUAGAAUUGUAGAGUUGGAAGGGACCAUGAGAGUCCUCUAGUCAAACCCCCUACAAUGCAGAAAUCUUUUGCCCCACAAGAUUAAGAUUAAGAGUACCAUGCUCUACCGACUAAACUAUGUCAUACAAACAUCUACCGGUAAUAAGCCUAGGUAAAGGUAAAGGGACCCCUGACCAUUAGGUCCAGUCAUGACCGACUCUGGGGUUUUGGUGCUCAUCUCGCUCUAUUGGCUGAGGGAGCCGGUGUACAGCUUCCAGGUCAUGUGGACAGCAUGACAAAGCCGCUUCUGGCGAACCAGAGCAGCACAAACCAGAGCAGCACACGGGUGGUGCUGUGGGUUAAACCACAGAGCCUAGGGCGGUUCGAAUCCCGAUGGGGUGAGCUCCUGUUGCUCAGUCCCAGCUCCUGCCAACCUAGCAGUUCGAAAGCACGUCAAAGUGCAAGUAGAUAAAUAGGUACCACUACAGAGGGAAGGUAAACAGCAUUUCUAAUAAGCCUAGACAGAGCCAUAUUCCACGAACUUUUCUAAUUCCCCUUUAAAAGUCAUCUAAACUGGUGGCAGUAGCUACAUCAUUUUGUUACAUAAAUUACUGUUGUCUGCCCUGGACUUACUGUCAACCUUGAUGUGAAGGUAGAGCUCAUUGGUAGAGCACAUCCUUUACAUGCAGGAGGACCCAAGUUCAAUCCUUAGCAUCUCCAGGAGAAGACCACUUUCUGAAAUCCUGGAGAGUUGCUAACGACCUCUGUAAGCAAUACUGAGCUGGAUGUGCCAGUGGUUUGUUUUGGUAAAACACAGCUUCCUGUGAUCCUACAUUUUAGUCUUACAGAAAAGGGAAGAACAUUAAGCUCUAUACAGUUCCACCAUAGCAUGCAUAAUUCUAUAAAUCUAUAACAUUUUCCCUAGGAAAGGGGCUGCAGUCCUAUGAUCAUCUUGGUUGCUCCUGAAGAAACAUCAGGGUCCUGUCUGUUCUGUAUACUCUUUGUUGAUGUUGUUGUUGUUUAGUUGUUUCCAACUCUUCAUGACCCCAUGGACCAUAGCACUUCAGGCACUCCUGUCUUUCACUGCCUCCCACAGUUUGGUCAAACUCAUGUUCGUAGCUUCGAGAACACUGUCCAACCAUCUCAUCCUCUGUCGUCUCCUUCUCCUAGUGCCCUCAAUCUUUCCCAACAUCAGGGUCUUUUCCAGGGAGUAGCAUUCAAUGAGAACCAACCCAACCAGUAGCUGCCUUUAUCUUGUCAACUUCUUGUCAUAUAUGCAAGUGACCUUGAGCCAUCAUGGGAACUUAUUAUUAUUAUUAUUAUUAUUAUUAUUAUUAUUAUUAUUAUUAUUAUAUUUAUCCCAGGCACUCUGGGCAGCUUCCAACACAUAUAAAAACAUAAUAAAACAUCAAAUAUUAAUAUUAACAAUUGGGUCCAAUAUUUUAAAGUCCAAAAAAAAUAUUUGAAAUAAACAGCAAUAUUCAAUAAUCCAUUCGAAUCUAAUAUAAACAGUAGCAUUAAACAUCAGCAAAUAAAAAUUAAACAGUUUACACUCAUCAAUUACAAUAAAGAAUUACUAAUUAGUAAAAAUAACAGCAAAUCACAAAGCAUAAUAUACCGCAAAACAUACAAAUAAAUGGAUCCAAUUGAGAAACAAUGACACACAACUUAUUUUUGAAAAAAUAUCCCUGAACUCUUCUCUUCCCAGCUGCUUCUGCUGUUCUCAAAGUCAGGCAAUCAAAGGCCCAGAUUUUCUGUCCUGGAUUCCUUGGCACAUGGAGGACCUGAAACAAAGAGUUAAAAAGCCUGUAGUUUUGCAUUUGUUUUGCCUUUGCUGGAAUGAGGUUUUCAUCUCUGAUGCCAGUCAGUUGCUCCAAAUACAGCGAGUCCUGUGGCACUUGAAGGCGGGCCUGUUUCUAAGAUUUAUACCUGCCCUUUCCUCCGGGGAGCUCAAGGUAGUAUUCAUAAGAGUUCCUAGGAAGUCUCCCCUCCAGGCAUUGACCAGAUCCAAGCCUGCUUAGCUUCAGCAAGGUUAUUGUGGCAUGAACUUCCACAGGCCCGGGAGAUCUUACUUCAUCAGAUGUAAGACAGAACAAAGCAAAGAGCUUUUUGCAGCCAAAGAGAAGGUGUGCAAAAUUCAAAGUAACAAGCUGGAGCAGAAGGCUGCAGGGUGGGGAGGGGGGAGGCAAGCAGGGAGCAAAAGAAUGGCAUUCAAUAGGGUAGGGAGAAACAGCUGCAAACUUCUGUAUAGGAAAAAGGCAGUAUCUUUUAUUCCCGGUUCAUUUCAGCAAGUCGUUUCUUUCAAGUUAACUCGGAGCAGGUCUGCUGUUAUGAUUGAAAAAACAUAAAUUUGGGGGGACUGCAAAUAUCAGAUGGAAUUGUGAGGACCAGUUCUGUGGCAAAGAGUAAAUCUCAAAUUGCAUUGUGCGUCAAGAAUACUGAGUUUAAAAAUCACCACCACCUUAUCUCUGUGUCAUUGGGCUGGAUUCCAUGAGAGCCAGCACAAUGAUUCCCAGUAGCACUGACAGGACAGUCAUAAUAGUGCAACACUGAAAUUCCUCUCUCUGCUUCCCCCCUGUUGAAAUCCCACUUCUCUUUUAAUCUAGGUCCACUAUUUAUGUGUCAGGAAUUUUGCCAAAGAUGCCCUAACUCAGCUCUGCAUAUUAAAUGAAGACCCUUUCUGUGACCCAUUCUCGGCUGGAGAGUCCUGCUGCACAAUAAGAAAUCAGUCUUCUGGUGUACUUAAGAGCUGGUGUGCUUGGACACCAGUUUAUUUACAAGAAAACACAUCCAGAGCAUGGCCUUCCCACCUGUUGUCAUUAACAGUAGUUGCUCGUCCCUCCCCCAACAGGAAGAACGCCAAAAUCCCGCCUUCUCCUUCCUUUCCAUUGUUCUCUGAGCUUCUCCAGUCUCCUUAGUAAUGGGGACUGAGCAGCUGGCCUGUCUCCUCCCCACUCCCAGAAGACACAGCCUCAGCCUCUGGCUUAUCUGCUGGUUGCCUGGCAAUGCUCGGGCUGACUUCCAACUCUUCCUCUCCUUGGGAGCUAACAGCUUCUUCCCUGGGAAGGAGGGUGCUGGGCUGUCUUCUCUAAACUCUGACAAACAGCUCUCAUCUGCAGAGUCAGCCCCUUGCUCGCUUUGCUCAAUUUCUGAGGCUGGCACUUGUGCUGCAACUGGAUGGGGUGGGGGGAGGCAUGUUCCCGACACCAGAUUUUAGCCCAAAUUAUCUUCUGCUGGGCUGGGAGAGCAUUCAAAAAUAUGAUCUCCUCAAACUGCAAACCAAAAUGGUACAGUUCAUUAUAUCAUCUCAGAUCUCUUUCUGCUAUGUGUGUAUAGCAGUCUUGAAUGUAUCUCGUAUUUGUGUCCCAUUACAGAGGGUGGUGACCAAACAAGCCUAGAUGCUACCAGCAGAAUACUGUAGCAGUGAAUGAAUUUCAAUUUAUGAAAUAUCAGUUGAUGAGAAUUACUAAUGGGUAGAGCGCUGUUGCAUGCAGGAAGCCCACUGGAAUGUUUUGAAAAUUCAGAGCUAAUGACACAUGUCUAAUGCCAGCAGGGAGGUCAUGCCACAUAUCGGGUGCCACUACCCUAAAGGUCCUGUUCUUUGCCCCUACAGAUUAGAUGGCAGGAACAGCUUUAGAGCUUUGUCUAUACCAGAAGAGGUGGUCCAUAGGAAUCACAAAUUCCAGAUCACAGCACUGAAGAAUCAACCAGCAUUGUUAUUUCCAUACUGUCAGAGGGUCGUCGUGGCUACUCUAGAGUAACUCCGCUUGAGUCCAGUUUGUCUUCAAAGACGUUUAUUGUGCUAAUUAUUUACAGUGUAGAGACAGCUUAAAACAUGACCUCUCAUCCCGAAUCAGAAUCCGGCAAUGGCGUACGUCUGUUCCUACGCCAGCAAAGUAGUCUGGGCACCCCAAAACGCUGCCCCCUUGACCUGCGUUGCAGUGCUCUCCUCAUUUCUGGCACGAUGCCUUUUCAGUUUCCUCCCUCAGCAGUUGGUUCCCUGGCUCUGCAGUAUUCCCAAGUGUCUGUCUGCCUCCGAGCUUUCCCAUUGUUCCUCACUCUGAUUUCUCUCCCUCUCCUAGUCUCCUCCUCCCCCUCUGGCUGCUUCAGAACCACUGCUGCUCUCUGUACUUGAUGAGGUGGAUGUUUAGGAUGAUGGGGGCUAGCUCCCUGUAGUGAGUCCCCCUUACUGGCAUGUGUGUGCUGCUGGUGAGGUUGUAAGAAUACUAGCUUUCCUACAUGCUUAUGUUUUGACCGAGGCAAGAUUAGAACUGAGAACGUCAAAGUUCUUGCCCUCUUUGAUUCUCUCCUUUCUCAAACAUACAGCAAACAGCUCCAUUUGACCACAUCUCAGACCAAAUGGCUUCUUCUGCCAUUCUCCCAAGGGAGAGACUUGGUGAGAAGUGUCAACUGUGCUGCCCCUUCACCUCUCGUGAAAUCCCCAAAUGUGGGCCCUGUUUAAAAAAAUUAGCCACAGUCUUGGAGGAAAUGAAUUAUGCCUCGUUAAGAAGCUGCGGACACAUGCAUAAAGCUUAAAAGAUCAUGAAUAUAAGCACUUGAGUCUCUUGUCAUAAUCUGUGGCCAUGUGAAUUAUCACACCGGUUAAUGAUUCAAAGUGCUACGGAGAAUGGUUAGCUUUUCAUAAGGGUAGUUCAAAAGAUCACAGUGAAAUGCAGCCAUAUGUAAAACUACACACUCAUUAGCGCUGAGAUAUAGGCAAGGAGCCAAAUUAACAUUCUUGCACUGUCGUUCCUGAUUCGAAGGCAGCCAGUUUCUGGUUAUAAACAAAUGGAGCGAGCUAUCAGAUUUACAGCCCCUCCUUCCUGUGAACCUCCAGGUUUAUUUAUUAUGUCUGCAUUAUGUGAAUUUCUUCAUUUCCCCGGGAGGAAGAAUAAUCAAUUAUUCCAGUAUCUGUGUAUUUCACUUACCACUGUACGGAACGGGGGGGGGGGGGCAUCAACUCUGUUAAUGCUCAUCUCCUCCUGCUUUGAGAAAUUGCACAACCCUCUUUGGAAAAUUACCAAAACAUUCACACACAAAAAAUCCACCAGCCGCCACUCCUCGGCAUCCCAUAACUUUUUAGACCUAGCAACAACAAUAAGUUGAAGAUCAGCUUCUCCCCACCCCUUCUGUCCAAUAAAUUGUGCAUCUCUGAAAUUGCAUUGUAAGAGCCAAACUAGAUGAGAUAUUGGCAAUCUGUGAGCUGGGAAGGGGGGGGGGUGCUAGCCUCUCACCCCACCACAGUAUCAUUUUCUCAAAUCAAAUACCUUCCCCCAAAUGCUGUUGGCUUCAUUAGAAAAAAAAAGAUACAUCAGGAAUGUAGGAACACAUUGGUCUAUCUCUGCCAGUGUGUUCUACACUGGCUGGCAGGAUUUCAGUGUAAAUAUGGUAGGCUCACAUUAAAAGACAAAAUCAAACAAAUUUAUCCCACAUCCUAAACCCCAGGGGAAUAGGAUUGCAGUCUGUAAGUGUUGGAAGCAUUUGCAAUCCUUACAGCAACCAUCUAAGGUGGAUCAGUUUUAUCAGCCCUAUACUGCAAACUGGGGGAAAUUCUUGCUGAAUGAUAACAACUUGAAUCAUUCCAGCUAUUGACAGCUGAGGUGAGAUUUUGAACCAGUGGCCCACCCACAUUUUUGUAUUUGUUGUUGCAUUUUUCUCGAAAUUUCCCAUUAAGCAUGGUGGCAUACGUGGUUUUCUCCCUCACCAAUUUAUCCUCACAAACGACCCUGACAGGUAGAUUAGAUGGAGAAACUGCCCCAUGGUUACCCUGUGAGCUUCAUGGCUGAGUGAGGUUUUAAACUCUGGUCUGCCAGUUCCUAGUCCAGCAGAUCUCGAAGGGUGAGGCACAUCGCACCAGUGUGGCAGGAAGAUUUAAGGACAUUUAAACAGUUCAGUAUGGUAUCCUAUGGUAUGGUAUCAAAUUAUUUUUAAUUUGCAGAAUAUGGAUACAGUACAUAUCUUUUCAAAAUGAGAGCAAGAACAUUGGCUAUUCUUCUGCAGUUCUCCGUGACAUAUUGUUGUGUUUCACCUCUGACAAUUAUGAAAGAUCAGAAAAAAAGAAAAGCUUCUUUGUGCUGAUGAGGAGAUGAGUGUUUUGUUUGUAUUAGACCUCAUAUAGAAGAGAUUACCCGGCAAAAGCAAGAUCACACUUCUCAUUGAGUUUGUGUAAAUACUCAAAGUACGUAUGUAAGAGGCUCGUUCAUAACAUGUAUUUUGAGAAAAAAAUUCAUGUUCUUAUGUAGCUGCAUUGUUUUAGACCAGGAGUUCCCAAACUAAGGCCCGGGGGCCGGAUGCGGCCCAAUCACCUUCUAAAUCCGGCCCGCGGGCGGUCUGGGAAUCAGCAUGUUUUUACAUGAGUAGAAUGUGUCCUUUUAUUUAAAAUGCAUCUCUGGGUUAUUUGUGGGGCAUAGGAAUUCAUUCCUAUUUUUUUUCAAAAUAUAGUCCGGCCCCCCACAAGGUCUGAGGGACAGUGGACCGGCCCCCAGCUGAAAAAGUUUGCUGACCCCUGUUUUAGACUUUCUGGACGUCCCGUUAUCAUAUUAUAAAGUACCUGUGUUCUAUGUUAUAAAUCAAGCACUGCUAGUUGUUGUUUUCCCCCAUUGUAUUUCUUAUCAGUAUAAAAGUUGGUGUGGCUUGAGCAAACUUUGGUUCCGGCCCAGGGAAAAAUGUUUGAGAACCACUGUCUUACUCCAUUGCUACAACCACUAGGCCAUGCUCUUCCUUUUGGGUCCUGCUUGCAGGUUUCCCACCGCCCUUGCGGGUAUCUCUUCCACCCUUGUUAAGAACUGGCUGCUAGUCUGCUCCAGCUUGUUCUUCUUGAGCUCUUAUGAUACAUGUUCAUAUUCUCAGAUUUAUUUUGUCUACCUCCACUCUAUUUGCUGCAAACAUGGAAUUUAUAUCCAUGUUUGUUGCUCUUUCCACAUAACAUGUAUGGUGUUUAAAAUUGUUCACUGGAGUGUGGUGUCUUGUAGCAGAAGAAAACUGAUAUUUGAAUUUAAAAUUCCAUGCUGGGGGGUAGGGCACACAACUUACAGGCUUUGGUUUUCUAAAGGGAAUAUGUUGCAUCGUUAAAGGCAGGAUUAAAGCGGCAAUUAAUGAAUAACCCUCUAAUUCCCCAACAAGGCAAACAAACUGACCCCAAGGUGCUGCUUUUAAAGUGGAAGUUUCAUUGCAAUAUACUUGGCUUUGUAAUAAACAAAAACACCACGAUUAAAAAGUGCAAUCUGGAGUCACGCUUCUUUGUAGCUGCUGCUGAAAGCUCAUCUAGCUAAUUAGCUCUUCCAGUCCAGUUUCUGCUAAUGUAGUUCUUACAGUGUGUCAUGAAAAUGUAUAUUAAUGCCAUUUAGAAUCUAAACAGCUUGAAAUUUCCCUCGCCGCUCAGCAGAGGUCAGAAAUGUUUGCAAGAGAAUAAGUUUUAAGAGAGAGGGGGGGAGGGAGAGAGAGAGAGAGAGCUGGUUCUCAGGACAAAAGAAGAAUGAAUUCAAGCCAGCCAAAGUCCCCUGAUUUCAAUGGGAACGCAUUAAUUAUGUGCAUAAUGCUGUGCCAUUGAAAUCAGUGAGACUGUAAUGUGCUUAAAUUUGCCUGUAUCGUAUUCACACGCCCAAUCUCCAGUAUACAUUUAAGGCAAUGCCAUGCCUCUUUAAGCAGUCAUGACUUCCCAAAAAGAAUCCUAGAAACUGUAGUUGCAAGGCCCUGAGAGUUGUUAGGAGACCGCCAUUCCCUUCGCAGAACUACAAUUCCCAGAGUGGUUCAGCAAUCAAUAGCACUUCCCAGGGAACUCUGGGAAUGCGGGGAAGGCCUGUGGCUCCGUGGUAGAACAUGUGCUUUGCAUGCAGAAGGUUCCAGGUUCGAUCCAGGUAGGUCUGGGAUGGACUCCUGUCCGAAACCUUGGAGAGCCACUUCCAAUCAGUGCAGACAACUCUGACUUACAUGGACUAAUGAUUCGGCUUGGCAUAAGGCAGCUUGCUCUGGUCCUAAUUGUCCACGUGAGUUGUUAGGGGGGUUCUGUGCCGUGUUUGAUGUGCAGCAGCUCACUCGGCAAGGUAAUCCUGUGCCAUGCUGCUGAUGUGUACAUAGCCUUCUUCAGAACCUAAUGACUAAGUUACUGAGAAUGUCAUUUUUUGUGAGCCUUUCGUAUUAAUGUUUUAUUGGAAAGUUUUCAAAUAUAAAGAAACAAAGUGAUGCGAAGAAGAAAUAAAAAGGCUCAAAAAUGGGUAAAAAGAAGCAAUAUAUGAAUACAGUGGUACCUUGAGUUACAAACGCUUCAGGUUACAAACUCCGCUAACCUUGAAGAGUUACCUCGAGUUGAGAACUUUGCCCCAGGAUGAGAAUGGAAAUCAUGUGCUAGAGGCACAGUGGCAGCAAGAGGCCCCAUUAGCGAAAGCACGCCUCUAGUUAAGACCAGUUUCAGGUUAAGAACAGACCUCCGGAACGAAUUAAGUUCGUAACUAGAGGUACCACUGUAUAUCCAAUGUAUGAAAAAUACCCUAACCCAUACAUUCUUAUAUAAAUUCCAUAUUAUUAUCCUAAUACAUAUGUAAAUAUUAAUACCCUACUACAUUAUGUAUAAACCCAUUCCAAAUCGUGUCAUAUUUAUCCAAUGUUACUGCAAAAGUAACAGGACUGGCAGGGAUAAAUGUAAGACAUGAUCUAAGAAUGUUCAGGCCGGGAUGUAUUGAGAUCCUCCAUCAAUGGCAUGGGAAUCUCCUGUCACACAUAGAGAAUCUCGGAGCCCAUCAUAUAUGUAAUGAAUAUCCACAUGGUGGUUUUUUUGUUUGUUUGCUUGCUUGCUUGCUUUUCAGCGGACAACACCAGUACAGUAUAGAACUUCUUAAAACACAUGGAAGGAACUGAUGAUCUGAUUGGCUAUAAUUGACAAUGUCAGAUUAAAAGGGGUUGAGUGGGAAAUGGCAAGCUCCAAUAGUCAAAGGGGACAGCUAGUUCUUUGCAUCUUGGAGACAUGACUUGCAUUUUCUCCCGCAGUGCCAGACUCCUUGAUUCCCCAUGAGCUUUCCCUCAUCCGAAUUAAUGCAAGCUCUUUUUUUUCCUGAGCUCCCCUUCACUAAUUUCUUUUGACACCACGGAAUUCUCCUCCUCUGCUUCAAUGACCCCCUUUUAACUUGUGCUUUCGUCACCAGGGUAAUGCAACUGACAAGCGCCUAUAUGAAAGCUGACACAACUCAUUGAUAUAUAUUGUGCUUGCAGAGAGCAAUUUGCCCAAAGAUCAUAGCCUGCUUAGCUAUUUGUCUCACACCUACCUGGACAGACAGGGCUGUAAAGCUCAUCCAUCAACAUUCACAAUGAAAGCUCCAUGGGAUUUUGGAAAAUGUACAAUGAGAAAAUGAGAGCUUGUGUAAUCAAGAUAAGAUAAAAGGUGACAAGCAGGAGAGCUGAUACAAGUCCAUGUUUCUUGGGAAUGAAAGCUCAUCUCGCAACUUUAGAUUAAGCACAGGUUUAUUCAUGUACAGUUAGAUCCCAAAAGACAUCCCCAAAAAAUGAUUUUGGACUCAUCAGGAGCUUUAAACUUUUCAGCAGCAGAGGGUGCAUAUGAUGACAAUGCAGUUGCCCAUCAAACAGUAAGAUGAGCAGAGCCUGCAAUUGCUUUCGAGUACAAUGAGCAAAGCUGGUUUGGAUAUACUUCUGGAACGUGCAGAUACUUAACCUAAAUCUCAUUUUGUGUUAUAUUUGCAGUUCUGUGGGAAAGAAAAUUGGAGCUAUAUGCUCCGAAAAUCACAAUGUGUUUCUGAACGGUUAUUCUGGUACCCUGUUGCAGUUUAAGACCAGUUCACACUAGUGAACUGCCAUAGCUUUGCCUCCGGAUCAUGAUUAAGGAUGCACUCCUAACCCUGGCCACUGCCUGGCAGGGCUUAACAGGACGACUGAGCCAUUAACACUCCUGCAGCCCUGCUGAGCAUCCUGACCAGGGUAGAAGGUUGUAGGGCAAGCCAGUCUCUGUGUCCGUCUUGAGCUGGCAGAGAGACAGGGCCUGAUGCCAUCACGUGAGAGAGCAGUGGGUCUGGAUUUAAAUUAGAAGGGGCAUUCAAAUCUCCAAAUGCUCCUUUUUAGCAGUUAAUGGUGAUUCAGAUCCCCAACUUCUUCUCGGUCUCCUGGCUCUGACUGAAGCAGGAUUCACUAUCUUAAACUAAAUCUGUUUUGUUUAAAGAUGUGAAACAGAUUGGAAACCCAUAAGAAAUGCGGAGGUGUCCAACAUGGGAUGUGACAAGGGAAGUAGCAGUUUUUAUUUCAAAUGAAAAUUCCUAUGGGGUCAUCACAUUUGAGUCAUCUUAUACAUAUUUCCCUUUCCCAUUUUGGGAACAGAUGUGGAUUUAAAAACAUGCAUUACCCAUCACCAACUUUGCUAUAAUAUAGUAUCUGAAGUCUUAUUCCCCAGCUUCUGCUGUAGAAAGUAAGUGCAUGAUACUUAAAAGAUGCAAAAUUGUUUGCAUUGCAAAGUGUAACCUUAUCAGUGGGCCCAUUGAGAGAGCCAUACUGCCCUGGAAUGAGUUUUUUUCCCCUGAAGUAGCUUGGACACACCUUCUGUCAGUACUGGGCCGUUGGCUGCAGUCUGUGGUGAAGCAGGGAUCAUGGACAACCCAGCAGGAGUUAUGGACCAGCUCCAGGAAACAGCUCAGUGGUACAGCACUUGCAUGCAGAGGGUCUCUGCUUCCAUCUCUGGUAUCUUCAGGUCUGUCACAGUCUGGUUUACAGGUGGUCAAAGUUCUGGCUGAGGACAUCGGGACCGGGACAUCGGGGUGGGAGCAGGAGCAGGAACAGGAGUCCAGAACCAGGAGUCAGAAAGCCAAGAGUCUGAGGAUCAGGAAGCAAGGAGUCAAGAAGCCCAAGGCAGGAAGCAUGUUGGUGUGGCAAAGAGCCAAAGGGAAAUGCUGACCUUAUAUCCCUUCCCAGCUCUUGCCACCAGGUGCUGUGUGUUACCAAUCGGCCUCACCUGUGCGGCCGCGCCUUGCCUCUUCAGAACAAACUUAGGAAAGCCCCAGUCCUGCGAAGCCCUACUGGUCACAGGGCCUGGCUCCUGCACACACUCCUGACAAGGUCAGGCUGAAGAGCUGCUGCCAAUCAGAGUGGACACUACUGAGCUGGAUGAAGCAAUGGUCUACCUCGGUAGAAGGCAGUUUUUGAUAUUUUGCUAUAGUCAGCAUCACAGAGCAUGUCAGGGCUGAAAGGCAAAAUAGAAGGAUAUCCAGGAACAAGGCAGAAGGCAGCACCGAAGGGCAAGCCAAAGGAACGCAGCCGAGAUCAGGAAGACCUUGUGGAGCAAGGAAGGCUCAACUGGAAUUAUUGGUGCUAGCAAAGCAAGACUUUGCGGUGGAAUCUCACUGAGCAGAAUGAAGAGGACAAUCCCUAAAUGCAACAGGGCUAACUUACCUCAUUUUGAAAUAAUUCACAUUAUCUUAUAAAGACUGGGGCAGAUAAAACCAUUAUGUCCAGAUUCUAAAGUCAUGUAACUGCACUUCUCCACUGUGGCCAGAAACAGGAAGCUCUCUUAUCGUUCUUCCUGUCUAAGAGGUUCCAACAGCCAGCCUGGGUGGGUUGCAUUAGCACAGGGAUGAAGGCCAUAAAUUGCCUGGGCAGGAUGCUACAACAUGCAGUUCAGUGGUUCGUCACAUGAGGCAGCCGCACAAAAAAACAACAACAAAAAACCAUGGUCUCCUGACUUCUUGCCGUGUAGAAAGGAAGAAAGCAUCACACACACCAGGUAUUUCUCUGCAUGAUCUCCUUGUUCUGUCAUUUCUUGCAGUGCUAAUGUUAAGAAGAUGCCGUCUGCUGCAUGAUCAUGAAACAAAUGCCCUUUCUUCCUUUGUGGAUAUUGUUUCACUUUGUGCAGGUAUAUCACUGUAUGGCACAGGGCUUCCCAUUUUAAACAGCAUACUACAUUAAGGGCUGGGCUUGGGAGAUGAGCUCUUGAACAAAGCCUUUUGAUAGCACAGCACACGUUUAAGGUUUUAUGAAACUGUCUGAAACCAAGGCGGGGGAGAGCGAGAGAGCUCACUGUAGCUAUUUUUUAAUAAGCAAUGGAGCACAGCUAUAAAUCUGGGGAGGCUUUAUGAGGUUUUAUUUGCUACAUUAUUUGUGCAAAGAUAGCCUGAUGAACACUGUUAUAAUUUCCCUUUUAUGUGUUUGGCCCUAUGUCAUUUAAGGCUGUUUGAAUAAUUCAGUGUAUAGGGAAGAUUCAGAUAAGGUAUGAAAAUGCACGGGGAUGCACAUUUAGGGAUGUACAGAGGUGACACUCUUGGUUCAUGAUUUACCCCACAAUUUAGCAUUGCUUCUCACUUUUCUUCCAUGUAACACAAGGAACUCAUGGAAAUUAUGCCUUCUUAUGAGGAACGGCUUAGGGAGCUGGGUAUGUUUAGCCUGGAGAAGAGAAGGUUAAGGGGUGAUAUGAUAGCUAUGUUCAAAUAUAUAAAAGGAUGUCAUAUAGAGGAGGGAGAAAGGUUGUUUUUUGCUUCUCCAGAGAAGCGGACAUGGAGCAAUGGAUUCAAACUACAAGAAAGAAGAUUCCACCUCAACAUUAGGAAGAACUUCCUGACAGUAAGAGCUGUUCGGCAGUGGAAUUUGCUACCAAGGAGUGUGGUGGAGUCUCCUUCUUUGGAGGUCUUUAAGCAGAGGCUUAACAGGCGUAUGCCAAGAAUGCUUUGAUGGUGUUUUCUGCUCGGCAGGGGGUAGGACUGGAUGGCCCUUGUGGUCUCUUCCAACUCUAUGAUCCUAUGAUUCUCUAUGAUUCUAUGAUUCAAGGAAGCCUCCAUAGAGUUUCUUCUUAGUCUCCUAUCCAGAUACUGCUUAUCUUAGGAACAUUAGAACCUGCCUUACACCAAGUCAGAGCAGUGGUCCAUAAGUGUCAUCUAAAAUGACUGGUAGUGGGUGUACAAGGUUUCAGGGAGAGUUCUGUCCUGGUCCUCCAUGGAGAUCCCAACCCUUGGACCAUCAGGUCCAUUUCCCCUUUGUUAACAUUCGCAGGGAAACCGAAAUGCUUGUUUACAAAGCUAUUGUACUACCAACCUUACUAUAUGCUUGUGAAACAUGGACCACUUAUAAACGCCAUCUCUAACUCCUCGAAAGAUUCCAUCAACGGUGUCUCCGAAA
This is a non-coding RNA of Zootoca vivipara (common lizard), 24609 nucleotides long. Lineage: Eukaryota; Metazoa; Chordata; Lepidosauria; Squamata; Lacertidae. The record is from RefSeq and is a predicted model, not a curated record.